RNAcentral lists this ribosomal RNA (526 nucleotides) under uncultured bacterium. Its description in RNAcentral is "bacterial SSU rRNA". It matches the Rfam family "Bacterial small subunit ribosomal RNA", at positions 777 to 1304 of the family's 1533-position model. The record is from RNAcentral.
AAUAGAUACCCGGGUAGUCCAUGCCGUAAACGAUGUCUACUAGCCGUUGGGGCCCUUGAGGCUUUAGUGGCGCAGCUAACGCGAUAAGUAGACCGCCUGGGGAGUACGGUCGCAAGACUAAAACUCAAAUGAAUUGACGGGGGCCCGCACAAGCGGUGGAGCAUGUGGUUUAAUUCGAUGCAACGCGAAGAACCUUACCUGGCCUUGACAUACAGAGAACUUUCCAGAGAUGGAUUGGUGCCUUCGGGAACUCUGAUACAGGUGCUGCAUGGCUGUCGUCAGCUCGUGUCGUGAGAUGUUGGGUUAAGUCCCGCAACGAGCGCAACCCUUUUCCUAUUUGCCAGCACUUCGGGUGGGAACUUUAAGGAUACUGCCAGUGACAAACUGGAGGAAGGCGGGGACGACGUCAAGUCAUCAUGGCCCUUACGGCCAGGGCUACACACGUGCUACAAUGGUCGGUACAAAGGGUUGCUACUGCGCGAGCAGAUGCUAAUCUCAAAAAGCCGAUCGUAGUCCGGAUCGCAGU